AUGACCCCAUGCCGCCAAGCCUGGGGACAGAUUCUCCAGGGGCAAACAGGCAGCUGGGUUAAACUCCCCCAACCUCACCGUGCCCACCCUUCUCCUUGGGGGCGCAGUCCUGCAGCCUUCCCUUUCUUUCCAGCAUGGAAAGCCAAGUGCAAAGACGAGGUCCAUUAUCAGCAGUGGAGCUCAAUGACGUGGCUUGGGGUUCAAACCGGGAGCGUCAGGUACUGGUUUCUCUGGCGCCCAGAGGAAAAGCCAGCAUUCCUUGAAAUGGCAGAAGCCACCGAAAGUCAUCCUGCCUGUGUGAGAAUGAUGUACCGGAACUGCCUUUGCAAAUCCAGAAAGACACGUCAGAUGGGAAACGUGAAGAGACGGAGUGACGUGCUCAGCGUGGUGGAGGGGAAAGGAACACCAAAGUGCCCCGAUUCCUGCCUCAUUUGGGCUCAGCAAGACCUGAUCCAGCCCCUCAAGACAGUCCCAUGGGCCAUCUGGGAAAGAAGGUGUCUCCAGCAACUUCUGUGA
RNAcentral lists this long non-coding RNA (516 nucleotides) under Ailuropoda melanoleuca (giant panda). Its description in RNAcentral is "lncRNA (ENSAMEG00000028661.1)". The record is from RNAcentral. Lineage: Eukaryota; Metazoa; Chordata; Mammalia; Carnivora; Ursidae.